UCCCUGGACUAGUGGUUAGGCCUCGGCGUUCUCACUGCCGCGGCCGAGGUUCGACUCGCGGCCAGGGAA
Molecule: non-coding RNA, 69 nt
Organism: Pangasius djambal
Lineage: Eukaryota; Metazoa; Chordata; Actinopteri; Siluriformes; Pangasiidae
Source: the annotation of a GenBank genome assembly